RNAcentral lists this small RNA (125 nucleotides) under Marmota monax (woodchuck). The record is from RNAcentral. Lineage: Eukaryota; Metazoa; Chordata; Mammalia; Rodentia; Sciuridae.
GCUGGGCACGGUGGUGCAUGCCUGUAAUCCCAGCAGCUCAGGAGGCUGAGGCAGGAGGAUCACAAGUUCAAAGCCAGCCUCAGCAACAGUGAGGUGCUAAGCAACUCAGUGAGACCCUGUCUCUA